RNAcentral lists this ribosomal RNA (232 nucleotides) under uncultured bacterium. Its description in RNAcentral is "partial 16S ribosomal RNA". It matches the Rfam family "Bacterial small subunit ribosomal RNA", at positions 99 to 334 of the family's 1533-position model. The record is from RNAcentral.
CGGACGGGUGAGUAAUGUCUGGGAAACUGCCCGAUGGAGGGGGAUAACUACUGGAAACGGUAGCUAAUACCGCAUAACGUCGCAAGACCAAAGAGGGGGACCUUAGGGCCUCUUGCCAUCGGAUGUGCCCAGAUGGGAUUAGCUAGUAGGUGGGGUAAUGGCUCACCUAGGCGACGACCCCUAGCUGGUCUGAGAGGAUGACCAGCCACACUGGAACUGAGACACGGUCCAG